Molecule: ribosomal RNA, 432 nt
Filed under: uncultured bacterium
Lineage: Bacteria
Description: bacterial SSU rRNA
Rfam family: Bacterial small subunit ribosomal RNA
Source: RNAcentral
UGGGGAAUUUUUCGCAAUGGGGGCAACCCUGACGAAGCAAUGCCGCGUGGAUGAUGAAGUAUUUCGGUACGUAAAAUCCUUUCGACAGGGACGAAACCGCAAGGUUGACGGUACCUGUAGAAGAAGCCCCGGCUAACUCCGUGCCAGCAGCCGCGGUAAUACGGGGGGGGCAAGCGUUGUUCGGAAUUACUGGGCGUAAAGGGUGCGUAGGCGGCUUUCUAAGUUGGAUGUGAAAACUCUGGGCUCAACCCAGAGCCUGCAUCCAAAACUGGAGAGCUUGGGUUCUGGAGGGGAAAGCGGAAUUCCUGGUGUAGCGGUGAAAUGCGUAGAUAUCAGGAGGAACACCGGUGGCGAAGGCGGCUUUCUGGACAGAUACCGACGCUGAGGCACGAAAGCUAGGGGAGCAAACAGGAUUAGAUACCCCCGUAGUCC